AUCGCUUCUCGGCCUUUGGCUAAGAUCAACUGUAAUAUCUGUUCUUAUCUGAUACAUCCCUUAUGUGGGGACCAUAUAUUAAGAAUGGACUACUUGACAUGAAGCAGGGGUGGAAUGGUUGCAUAGCAUACAGCAUCAGAAACCUGGGUUGACUUCCCACUGCUGUCUGCAAGGAGUUUGCACGCU
Hypanus sabinus (Atlantic stingray) is the source of this 186-nucleotide small nuclear RNA. RefSeq annotates it as U2 spliceosomal RNA. The record is from RefSeq and is a predicted model, not a curated record. Lineage: Eukaryota; Metazoa; Chordata; Chondrichthyes; Myliobatiformes; Dasyatidae. The transcript has a single exon.